CACUGUCGUCCUCCGUGGCGGAGUCGAAAAACCCGAUGCCUCAUUUGGCGAGAUUUGCUGGCGGAAGGCGUUUAGAGGAAUUCUAAUUCUCUCCUCCUGGUGGAGUGUUCUCCUUGUGGUUUGGCCUGUGGUGUCUUCCUGUUUGGAUUUGUUCUUGACGUGUGGUCAUUUUACCUGACUGUCGCUGGACUGUUUGAUACUAGAUCUAUAUUCCUAAAGAAACUGUUACCGGAGAUAUGUGGCCGUGUUCGCUGUAACUUCCAGGAAACUAUUACUCAAAAGCAACUUUUUCCAACUCUUUUCUUUAAACCAAUGAAGUAGUUAGUUGCCCUCACAAACUGUACCGAUGCGAAGAGAUAAAUCAAAUCAUCGAUGUCUUGAUUAUGUUGUGACUGUGUUGCCAACCGGAGAACUCGUUCUGGUGACUGUGUGUUUGCAUUCCAGGGCAAUUUGAUUGAGGGGCAUUUUAUAGCUAGGUCUAAUAAUACCCCUUUUCAUUCCUUAGAUAGAAUUUAAAACAAAAAGGACUACAAAAACAACAACAAAAACAACAACACAGAAAAAAGAA
Aplysia californica (California sea hare) is the source of this 568-nucleotide long non-coding RNA. RefSeq lists it as uncharacterized. NCBI's taxonomy places the organism in Eukaryota, Metazoa, Mollusca, Gastropoda, Aplysiida, Aplysiidae. The record is from RefSeq and is a predicted model, not a curated record. The transcript has 2 exons.